CACAACACUUAUUGUUGAAAUGUCCUUUCGACAUGUGACCCCUGACUAACCCAAAUUAAUUUAUGGUUUUCGUUAAUGAGAAAAUGAUCACUUACGUAUUAUCAAACACACAUGCAAUAUUGAAUAAAUCACAAAAUUCAUUUUAAAUAUGGUGCGA
Long non-coding RNA from Bradysia coprophila, 157 nucleotides. Lineage: Eukaryota; Metazoa; Arthropoda; Insecta; Diptera; Sciaridae. The record is from RefSeq and is a predicted model, not a curated record.